ACAUUUUAAUAUAAUAGAAUAGCAAUAUAUAAAUAUAAGCAUACUUAAUCAUUUUCGCCUCCACUUCGAUGCUUGACAAAGUAUUUGAGGAAGGAUAAUUCUCGAAGAAUGUCUUUAUUUAGUGGCGAAAGUUGAUGUAGAGGCCUAGGAUUUAUUAUUUGCGCCAGGGUCGCUUUGGCAUAUUUAUUUCUUAGUUUGCCGAAGCACUUUUUAACGUACGGCCCUGCAACGUAGAGAGCAAAGGUGCCCCGAUCGUCCUCUCGGUCGACGAAGCAGACGACGAAGCAGUAUAUAUAACCUGCAAAAUCUCUCUCGGUGACCUUGCCUGAGAAGCAAAUCAACAGUACAUACAUAAUGGAUGCAUUGUUAUUAAAUAAUGCUAUAAACUUGUGGUUCAAUAUAGCUACUAUUGCAAGUGUUGUUCUUCAAGUUUGUUUAAAGAAAUGCAAUAUUCGUAGGUGGUGGGUAAAACCAUAUUUGCGUCCUGACAUUAGGAAUAGAUAUGGAGCUUAUAACUGUAUUGUCAGAUAUUUUAAGGAGAAUGAUGAAGAAGAAUUUGAGAAAUUCGUUGGCAUGUCACGUGAACAAUUUGAUGAAAUUGUUGAACUUUUAAGACCGCACUUGAUCAAAAGAAGUCAAAGACAAUCGUUAGAGCCAGAACGUUUCUGAUUGGCAAAAGUACCAUGUAUCGGAUAAUCAUCCAAGUAUGCACAGUAAUAUGCAAUGUGCUACAAGAAAAAUACAUUUCUUUUCCAUCAACUGAUGAUUUGACAGUUAUUGCAAAAAUGUAUUGGAAGAUAUGGCACAUGCCUAAUUGCUUUGGUGCAAUAGAUGGAAAGCACAUACGAGUAAAAGCUCCACCAAACUUGGGUUCAUAUUUUUUUAACUAUAAGAAGCAUUUCAGCAUUGUAAUAAUGGGACUAACUGAUGCCUUCUGUCGCUUUAUUUGGGUUAAUAUAGGGGAUUUUGCGCAGUGACCUAGGUCAAGCUUUGGAUAAUGAGGAAAUAGAAUUACCAGCACCGGCUUAUUUACCUGGGACAAAUGUGCUAUGUCCGUAUUUUAUUAUUGGUGAUGGAGCGUUUCCAUUAAAAAAGUAUUUAAUGAAACGAUACACCAGAGUAAAUGACCUUACGUACGAAGAAAACAUCUUCAACUACCGUUUGUCAAGAGCUCGAUUGACGGUUGAGAGAGCGUUUGGUAUUCUAACAAAAAAAUGGAAAAUCUUUGAGUCACCGAUAGAUUGGAAACUGCCAAACUGUGCAACAGUCGUAAUGACCUUAAUUUGUCUCCAUAACUAUCUAAUCACAGAAGAAAUGAAUAAAGACGAAGCCGAAAGAGAGUAUAUUUUUAAUCCGUACAAUAUUCAAAAUGAAGAUAACAUAGGAAUAUAUUUAGGAAAUAAUGCACACGAUGCAGGGAAUAUUAGAAACUCAUUAAAAGAUUUUUUUCUAAGUCCUUUUGGAAGUUUGCCAUGGCAACAUGACAAAGUAAUAUAAAGCUAUUUGUAUUUAUUUUUCAACAAUAAAGUUUAUCUUUCAAUA
Long non-coding RNA from Nasonia vitripennis (jewel wasp), 1542 nucleotides. RefSeq lists it as uncharacterized. The record is from RefSeq and is a predicted model, not a curated record. Lineage: Eukaryota; Metazoa; Arthropoda; Insecta; Hymenoptera; Pteromalidae. The transcript is spliced from 2 exons.